CGCGGCCUAUCAGCUUGUUGGUGGGGUAGAAGCCUACCAAGGCGACGACGGGUAGCCGGCCUGAGAGGGCGACCGGCCACACUGGGACUGAGACACGGCCCAGACUCCUACGGGAGGCAGCAGUGGGGAAUCUUGCGCAAUGGGCGAAAGCCUGACGCAGCGACGCCGCGUGGGGGAUGAAGGCCUUCGGGUUGUAAACCCCUUUCAGCAGGGACGAAGCGAAAGUGACGGUACCUGCAGAAGAAGCGCCGGCUAACUACGUGCCAGCAGCCGCGGUAACACGUAGGGCGCAAGCGUUGUCCAGAAUUAUUGGGCGUAAAGAGCUCGUAGGCGGACUGUUGCGUCCGCUGUGAAAAGCUGGGGCUUAACCCUGGCCUUGCAGUGGAUACGGGCAGACUAGAGGUAGGUAGGGGAGAAUGGAAUUCCCGGUGUAGCGGUGAAAUGCGCAGAUAUCGGGAGGAACACCGGUGGCGAAGGCGGUUCUCUGGGCCUUACCUGACGCUGAGGAGCGAAAGCGUGGGGAGCGAACAGGAUUAGAUACCCUGGUAGUCCACGCUGUAAACGUUGGGCGCUAGGUGUGGGGUCCUUCCACGGAUUCCGUGCCGCAGCUAACGCAUUAAGCGCCCCGC
This 629-nucleotide ribosomal RNA is filed under the name uncultured bacterium. RNAcentral's name for it is "bacterial SSU rRNA". It matches the Rfam family "Bacterial small subunit ribosomal RNA", at positions 232 to 872 of the family's 1533-position model. The record is from RNAcentral.